Gallus gallus (chicken) is the source of this 2703-nucleotide RNA transcript. It is a transcript of the gene named CUGBP Elav-like family member 4, with no coding region annotated. NCBI's taxonomy places the organism in Eukaryota, Metazoa, Chordata, Aves, Galliformes, Phasianidae. The transcript has 14 exons. The record is from RefSeq and is a predicted model, not a curated record.
GGGAGAGAGAGGGAGAGCGAGAGAGAGAGAGAGAGGGAGAGAGAAAAGAAGAGGGGGAAAAAAAGGAAAGAAGAUUUUCUCUAUGUAUAUAAAGAUGGCCACGUUAGCAAACGGACAACCAGACAAUACCAGCCUGAGUAGCAAUCACAGCAACCCCAGCACCAACGGGCAUAUGAACGGAUUAAACCAUAGUCCCGGAAACCCAUCCACCAUCCCAAUGAAGGACCACGAUGCCAUUAAGCUCUUUAUUGGGCAGAUCCCCCGUAACCUGGACGAGAAAGACCUCAAACCGCUCUUCGAGGAGUUCGGGAAGAUCUAUGAACUGACGGUGCUGAAGGACAGGUUCACUGGCAUGCACAAAGGCUGUGCCUUCCUAACAUACUGCGAAAGGGAGUCUGCUCUAAAGGCCCAGAGUGCACUGCAUGAACAGAAGACACUGCCAGGGAUGAAUAGACCGAUCCAGGUGAAACCAGCGGACAGCGAAAGCCGAGGAGAAGACAGAAAACUCUUCGUGGGCAUGCUUAAUAAGCAGCAGUCAGAAGAUGAUGUGCGCAGGCUAUUCGAGGCAUUUGGCAACAUUGAGGAGUGCACAAUCCUUCGGGGACCCGAUGGAAACAGCAAAGGCUGUGCAUUUGUGAAAUACUCUUCGCAUGCAGAGGCCCAAGCAGCUAUCAAUGCCUUGCAUGGCAGCCAGACAAUGCCGGGAGCCUCUUCAAGCCUGGUGGUGAAGUUUGCAGAUACAGACAAGGAGCGUACAAUGAGGCGCAUGCAGCAAAUGGCGGGACAAAUGGGCAUGUUCAACCCCAUGGCCAUCCAGUUUGGAGCAUAUGGCGCCUACGCACAGGCACUGAUGCAGCAGCAAGCCGCGAUCAUGGCUUCGGUGGCGCAGGGCGGAUACCUGAACCCCAUGGCAGCCUUUGCUGCAGCCCAGAUGCAGCAGAUGGCGGCUCUGAACAUGAAUGGCCUGGCAGCUGCCCCCAUGACUCCAACCUCAGGUGGAAGCACGCCUCCUGGCAUAACUGCACCAGCUGUGCCUAGCAUCCCAUCUCCAAUUGGGGUGAAUGGUUUCACUGGCCUCCCGCCGCAGGCUAACGGGCAGCCCGCCGCAGAAGCCGUGUUUGCUAAUGGCAUACACCCUUACCCAGCACAGAGCCCCACUGCAGCAGACCCCUUGCAGCAAGCCUACGCUGGAGUGCAGCAGUACGCAGGUCCUGCUUAUCCUGCUGCUUAUGGCCAGAUUAGCCAAGCGUUCCCACAGCCACCUCCCAUGAUACCACAGCAACAGAGAGAAGGACCAGAGGGCUGUAACCUGUUUAUCUACCAUCUGCCCCAGGAGUUUGGGGAUGCUGAGCUGAUGCAGAUGUUCCUGCCUUUCGGUAAUGUCAUCUCCUCGAAAGUGUUUGUGGAUCGGGCGACAAACCAAAGUAAAUGCUUUGGUUUUGUGAGUUUUGACAAUCCUGCCAGUGCCCAAGCUGCCAUCCAAGCUAUGAAUGGCUUCCAGAUUGGCAUGAAGAGGCUGAAGGUGCAGCUGAAGAGGCCAAAGGAUGCUAAUCGUCCCUACUGAGAAGUUAUGGGAACCACUGGAUACAAAGCACUAGCACAGAGCCAGUCAAAUCCACCACAGUCUCGCGCUGAGCUAGGAAAAAAGUUCACGUAAUGACAUGAAAGUGGAGAAUACAGUCCCCCAGGCCGGCAGCAGCUGAAUGGGCCACAAUUAGAAAAACAAAACAAAAACAAAACAAAACAAAACAAAAACACAAAAAAGUCUAUCUAUAUUAAAAAAAAAACAAAAAAAAACGGGAACUGUUGGAUUACACCUUUGACAUAUCAGCAAAUAUCAAUCAAGCUGAAGACUUCAGACUUAUUCUCUCUUUGAUUGUUUAGACUGUAACAUUUCUUCAAGAAAAGUAUCACAUCUGCUGACUUCGAAGGACAUGCGCUUGAAAACAAACAAACAAACACAUAAGUAAAAUCAGAACAGGAACAAGAUCAACCAGGAUUUCUGAAGAAACACUGAUAUCACCACAGCGGCUUUUCUUCAAACAGGAGAUGCAAACCUGGAUACUGACAAAGGAGUGCCUGUUUGCCACCAAGGAUGCGGUUACCAUGCACGACCCAUGGUAACAGUCACUGAGCAUCUUUAUCUGUCAUUCCUUAGCUAUAUAGGGACCAAAGGACAAAACUUUUUACCGCAGACUUGUAGCUGUAUGUAAAAUAUGGAAGUUCUUUCCUUUUCUCUGAGCUGUUCCUAAAACAGUUUUUGAGAGCGAUUAUAAGAAAUAUAUAAAAAUUAAAAAAAAAUGCUUAAAUGCUUUUAAAAUGGCAAGAUAAUAGUUCUUUGAUACUUUGGGAGGUUCUUUGGUUAUACAUUAAUUAGAGUCUAUGAAGCUUUCAUAUGGUUUUCUGUAUAAUACGUAAGGAUUGCGCUGUUAAAGGCAGGUUAGAUGGAUAUCUAUGGAAAGCAAAAAAAAAAUACAUAAAUAAAUACACUAAAAAGCAUAGAAGAGAAAGGAAAGGAAAGAUGGUUGAUAUUAAAAUGGAAAACAAAAAAAGAAAAGGUUUGUAAAUGCUUCUAACUCUCCCCAUUUAAAAUCCUAAUAGUUGUACAGAAUUUAAAAAAGAAAGUUUAAAAUACCUAUAUAAUAGAAAAAAAAUUAGACAACAUAAAAAAAAUAAAAAAACAAAAAAGCAAAAAAAAAAUAA